This 573-nucleotide long non-coding RNA is filed under the name Helianthus annuus (common sunflower). The record is from RNAcentral. Lineage: Eukaryota; Viridiplantae; Streptophyta; Magnoliopsida; Asterales; Asteraceae.
GUGUCAAAAUUAUUUAGUAAAUGUUUUUGCAACUUCUACACCCACUGCAACUGAACAUCGUGAUGGACCCAGAGGCAAAAAAAAACUAUUUGGACUAAAAUGGCAAAUUUGGACAAAACUCAGGGACUAAAAUGACAAUUUACUCAUUUUAAUAUUAGUAUAGAACUAUGGUGCGGUUUCCAUAAAACGGGUACUGGUAUUAUGGGCCAAGUGAAGCUCCAGGGAUUAACAAAUGGAUCGGUCGUUGACCUUCUGAGCAUUGGACAUAUUGAGUUGGAUUCAAAUGAGAAGCACUAGGGCAGGACACUGGUGGUUCAUCACUUUGGAUCUCAGGGUCAGACUUGGUACAAGACUUCACGGGAAAGGCGAAACGCGUGUCAAUGGUUAAAGCAUCAGACGUUAUUGGUCUGCUAAUAUUGCUCCAACUAACGGUUGCUCAGAUUGUAGUUACAAAGAACCAUGUUUGAACUGUUGAUAGCUUAUUAUGUUAAUUGUACUUACAUAGGUUGUAGCACAACAAAGGACAUGAUAAAUGCUUGCAACCAUACCUGAAUAAAUAAAUCACAAUAUUAC